CGGAUAGCUCCGGCUGAACCGCCAGACCCCCGACCCGGCGGUUCAGCCGGAGCUCUUGU
Molecule: small RNA, 59 nt
Filed under: Gordonia sihwensis NBRC 108236
Lineage: Bacteria; Bacillati; Actinomycetota; Actinomycetes; Mycobacteriales; Gordoniaceae
Description: F6 TB sRNA
Rfam family: F6 TB sRNA
Source: Rfam by way of RNAcentral